AGAAGAAGAAAAGAAGGAAAAAGAAGAAGAAGAAGAAGAAGAAGAACAGGAAGAAGCCGUGGAGGAGCAAGGGUGAGGAGGAGAUUUCGAGCAAGGAGAGAGCUUUUCAUUCAUCCUUUUCAUCAUCUCUCUCAUUCCAAUCAGCCAAGGAUUCGAGUAGAAGAGGAACUUGGACAGCAAGGAGCAGAUUAUCCAAGCUUCAUUCUUCCAUUCUUUUCAGAUCAAGAAAUCAAGAUGGUGACCACCACGGUAUUGGAGACUAUCGUGAGAUGGGAGAUCGUUCUGAGUAGGCCAGCGGAAGACCGGCUCUAGGAGACCGACGGUUCCGGAGUCCGGAGAGUCUGCGUCGGCGAUGCGGUGCUCUUAGGGAGGAACAGAUCUGGGACGGCUGUGGAGAGGCAGAUCCUUAGUGAUGGGACUGUUGUGCUGCCACAUCCUCCCGCUAGGUUUCAUCAGACUACAGUGGGACCUCGGAAGAGCGUGAUAAAGCUGGAGCGGUCUAAGAAGAGAGUGCGUGGAGCGGGAGCUGACGUUCCGGAGCGGGAUCAGGAUUAGAGUGUUCCUUUCUGUGGGGCUGAGAAUUCGUGUCGAACUAUUAUUUAUCAUUUUUAUUUUCGGGGUUUUCUUUUGAUGUACUUGUUGUAGGGCUUUAGCCCAAGGUUUCAUUUAUGUACUUUGGAAUUACAGUU
Lotus japonicus is the source of this 689-nucleotide long non-coding RNA. RefSeq lists it as uncharacterized. The transcript has 3 exons. The record is from RefSeq and is a predicted model, not a curated record. Lineage: Eukaryota; Viridiplantae; Streptophyta; Magnoliopsida; Fabales; Fabaceae.